AUCUGGUCACGUAGGAGUAGACAGCUAGACUACAGGGCGGCGGAACGUACUCUCUGUCUAGGUCUUCUCAUUUCUUCUCCCCACCCACCUCGCUUCCUCCGCCGCACACAGGAGAGGAUUCGUGCCCCAUCGAAAUGGAUUUGGUGUGCGACGUGUGUGGAGACUCAGGCUUCACAAGCACUCUGCUGCUCUGCCGCAACUGCAAGAACACCGCCAGGCACCGAUAUUGCUUUGAUAAGGUGAUUUUUGAUCCUGUGCGAGAGUGGUUGUGCAAUGCCUGCCAGCCACGCAUUCCGAUACUCAUGGAACUGCCUUUUGUCACGC
Brachypodium distachyon (stiff brome) is the source of this 324-nucleotide long non-coding RNA. RefSeq lists it as uncharacterized. Lineage: Eukaryota; Viridiplantae; Streptophyta; Magnoliopsida; Poales; Poaceae. The transcript has 3 exons. The record is from RefSeq and is a predicted model, not a curated record.